AACGCUGGCGGCGUGCCUUAGGCAUGCAAGUCGAACGGGUCCGAUUCGUCGGACCAGUGGCAGACGGGUGAGUAACGCGUAGGAAUCUACCUCUUGGUGGGGAAUAACUUCGGGAAACCGGAGCUAAUACCGCAUAAUUCGGCAACGAAAAAGGGCAUAACUGCCCGCCGAGAGAGGAGCCUGCGUCCUAUCAGCUUGUUGGUGGGGUAAUGGCCCACCAAGGCUACGACGGGUAGGGGAUGUGAGAGCAUGGUCCCCCACAAGGUUACUGAGACACGGAACCUACACCUACGGGUGGCAGCAACCGGGAAUAUUGCGCAAUGGACGAAAGUCUGACGCAGCGACGCCGCGUGCGGGAUGAAGGCCUUCGGGUCGUAAACCGCUGUGGAGAGGGAAGAAGAUCUGACGGUACCUCUCUAGAAAGCACCUGCAAACUACGUGCCAGAAGCCUCGGUAAUACGUAGGGUGCAAGCGUUAUCCGGAAUCACUGGGCGUAAAGGGUUUCGUAGGCGGUUCGGUAAGUGGUGGGUUAAAGCCUCCGGCUCAACUGGAGAAAGGCUCAUCAAACUACCAAACUAGAGUUAGUUCGGGGAUGCUAGAAUUCUUGGUGGAGGGGUGAAAUCCGUUGAUAUCAAGAGGAAUACCAAAGGCGAAGGCAGGCAUCUAGGACUCAACUGACGCUAAGGAACGAAAGCUAGGGUAGCAAACUGGAUUAGAGACCCAGGUAGUCCUAGCCGUAAACGCUGAACACUAGCUGGUCGCAGUUUA
Molecule: ribosomal RNA, 768 nt
Filed under: uncultured bacterium
Lineage: Bacteria
Description: bacterial SSU rRNA
Rfam family: Bacterial small subunit ribosomal RNA
Source: RNAcentral